RNAcentral lists this long non-coding RNA (1234 nucleotides) under Homo sapiens (human). Lineage: Eukaryota; Metazoa; Chordata; Mammalia; Primates; Hominidae. The record is from RNAcentral.
GUAUUCUGCACGGACUGCUGGGCAGCACUAGCACUCUGGAGAAGGUCUGCCGCUGUCUGCACUUUCCUGGUUCUAUGCAGGCAGAUGAGUGUCACAGCUGUAACUGAGGCACAGAGCAGUACACACAGUGGAGCCGAUUUCCGCGAUGGCGAGAGGGGGCACCGGAGGUGACAACAAUAACAAGACUGUCCUUCGGACAAGUUUUAGGAAGAAUGACUUGGGCAAUACCAAAUGUUGAGUUAUCAAGUAUUUCGAUACCCAUAUGCAUCAUCUGCUAUUCUCAGGAUGAUGGAGUGAGUGAUGGAAUAGGUUGCCAACUGUAGUUACUCCACUCAGCACAGAAUGGCUGCGGGGAAAUAUAAUCAGACAUGCCCAAAGAAGUCUGCUUAGGGUGAAACAAAUACCUUUGAGGUUUAAAUCAGGAAGGAGAGACUGUUUCUACAGGUGUCAUACAAAAAUCAAUACUGAGCCAAGGAUUAUUGGAUCCCAUAGAACCACGGAGACUUGGUAGUGAAAUUCUUCCAAAGCAUUCCAUCCGUGCAGGCAGAUGGUGUUCCUAGGUUUGGAAAUAUAAAUCCCAUGGGAAGUCAGCUGAAGACCAUUUUAUGCAUCACUCAUCCUGUUAGAGCCCUGUGCUGUUCUGUCUCUCUAUAAGACUGGCUGAAACCACCACGGUUGUUUACAAUUUAUGCUCUAACUUUGGAUCACCUAGUUAAUACUCUAACUCCGAUUAUUACCAAAGACAAUGUUCUAUAAAAGAUAUUGUCUAUUAGAAGGAUGCUUCUGCAUUAUUAAUAAAAUCACAGGGAAAAUGCAACAUUUUGGAUGUCACAUCUGAUAAGUUGGCAGUUAAAGAACAGAAACAGCAAUAAGACUGCGUGGCUACAUUUUCCCAGUGCCACCAACUGGGAUUUAAGCUGACUAACAUUUUGAAAGCCCAGCCCAUUUCAUUCACAGCAGGAUGGCAGAACAAGAAAUUGAGAAUGGGUUUCACAGUGUUCUGUUAAUUUGAUUACUGUGUCCUAAGUGUGGGUGACUGAUCGUACCCGCCAGCUGGCUAAUGUCAUAAUUAACAAAGUUGCUACUACAUCUGCAAAGUUUAAUCGAAAAAUUUGCCAGUGAUAUGAUGGCCUUGUCACAGAGAUCACAAGGGACACGGAGUUGACUUUUGCUCAAGGUGGAACGACAGAGCUGUGUAGGCAAGAUGAGAAAUUGCGAACUUGUUCGGCCAAAG